GAUGAACGCUGGCAGCGUGCCUAAUACAUGCAAGUCGAGCGAACAGACGAGGAGCUUGCUCCUCUGACGUUAGCGGCGGACGGGUGAGUAACACGUGGAUAACCUACCUAUAAGACUGGGAUAACUUCGGGAAACCGGAGCUAAUACCGGAUAAUAUAUUGAACCGCAUGGUUCAAUAGUGAAAGACGGUUUUGCUGUCACUUAUAGAUGGAUCCGCGCCGCAUUAGCUAGUUGGUAAGGUAACGGCUUACCAAGGCAACGAUGCGUAGCCGACCUGAGAGGGUGAUCGGCCACACUGGAACUGAGACACGGUCCAGACUCCUACGGGAGGCAGCAGUAGGGAAUCUUCCGCAAUGGGCGAAAGCUUGACGGAGCAACGCCGCGUGAGUGAUGAAGGUCUUCGGAUCGUAAAACUCUGUUAUUAGGGAAGAACAAAUGUGUAAGUAACUAUGCACGUCUUGACGGUACCUAAUCAGAAAGCCACGGCUAACUACGU
RNAcentral lists this ribosomal RNA (496 nucleotides) under uncultured bacterium. RNAcentral's name for it is "partial 16S ribosomal RNA". It matches the Rfam family "Bacterial small subunit ribosomal RNA", at positions 28 to 506 of the family's 1533-position model. The record is from RNAcentral.